AUGAUACUCCCUUCAUCUCAAAAUUCUUGUCUUAGAUUUGUCUACAUAUAGAUGUAUCUAUUCACAUUUUAGUGUUAGAUACAUCCGUGUUCAGAUAAAUCUAAGACAAGAAUUUUAGGACGGAGAAAGUAUAAU
Molecule: non-coding RNA, 135 nt
Organism: Triticum aestivum (bread wheat)
Lineage: Eukaryota; Viridiplantae; Streptophyta; Magnoliopsida; Poales; Poaceae
Source: Rfam